RNAcentral lists this long non-coding RNA (574 nucleotides) under Arachis ipaensis. RNAcentral's name for it is "long non-coding RNA (AIPA_LNC001159)". The record is from RNAcentral. Lineage: Eukaryota; Viridiplantae; Streptophyta; Magnoliopsida; Fabales; Fabaceae.
AUAAGAAACUUAGCAAAAAAAUUAUAUCAAUAAUUAACUCAAUAUUUUUUAUUUUUUUUAAAGAUAAAAGAAAAAAUUGAACUAGAUAUGAACAACAAAAGAAAAAAAGGAAGGAGUGGAGGCACAAGGAACUAAGUGGUGCGACACAGAAUUGGAAACGUUUGUCAACAUUCAACACCUGGAACUUCAGUGGCUCGCUAAUGGCUUUAUGGUCAGCUUCGGUCCCGCUAUCAUUCUCACCUGAAACUCUGGUCUCGUCCCUCCUCUAUUGUCGAUAACCGCGAAAUUGUUCAUCUCCGCUAAUGGUCUCUGAUUCUAACUAAGAUCCAUCGCACGCACGGCCUCUACUAUAGAUCAAGUUCUCUAAUUCCACCUCUCUCUCUCUAUGUGUUUCAAUUUGUGUUUUCUAAAUAUUGGUUGAUUUGAACUUCAGAUGUGUGAGAGCACAGAUCUAGAUAAAGAAAAGAGAAUUUGAAAAAUGAGAUAGAGAGGAUGAAGUGAAGAUGGCAUGGCGGUGGUAGAUGCAAUAGUGGCGGAGGAAGCAAGAGAGAAAAUCAUUAGUAGCAGAAGAGGG